Molecule: ribosomal RNA, 253 nt
Filed under: uncultured bacterium
Lineage: Bacteria
Description: partial 16S ribosomal RNA
Rfam family: Bacterial small subunit ribosomal RNA
Source: RNAcentral
UACGUAGGGGGCUAGCGUUGUCCGGAAUCAUUGGGCGUAAAGAGCGCGUAGGCGGCUGGAAUAGUCCGGUGUGAAAUCCACAGGCUUAACCUGUGAAUGCCGCUGGAAACUGUCUGGCUAGAGUCCGGAAGGGGCGAGUGGAAUUCCUGGUGUAGCGGUGAAAUGCGUAGAUAUCGGGAGGAACACCAAUGGCGAAGGCAGCUCUCUGGGACGGUACUGACGCUGAGACGCGAAAGCGUGGGGAGCGAACAGG